RNAcentral lists this ribosomal RNA (409 nucleotides) under uncultured beta proteobacterium. RNAcentral's name for it is "bacterial SSU rRNA". It matches the Rfam family "Bacterial small subunit ribosomal RNA", at positions 8 to 419 of the family's 1533-position model. Lineage: Bacteria; Pseudomonadati; Pseudomonadota; Betaproteobacteria. The record is from RNAcentral.
AGAGUUUGAUCAUGGCUCAGAUUGAACGCUGGCGGAAUGCUUUACACAUGCAAGUCGAGCGGCAGCGCGGGGCAACCUGGCGGCGAGCGGCGAACGGGUGAGUAAUGCAUCGGAACAUGUCCUGUCGUGGGGGAUAGCCCGGCGAAAGCCGGAUUAAUACCGCAUACGUCCGAGAGGAGAAAGUGGGGGACCCGCAAGGGCCUCACGCGAUUGGAUUGGCCGAUGGCCGAUUAGCUAGUUGGUGGGGUAAAGGCCUACCAAGGCGAUGAUCGGUAGCUGGUCUGAGAGGAUGAUCAGCCACACUGGGACUGAGACACGGCCCAGACUCCUACGGGAGGCAGCAGUGGGGAAUUUUGGACAAUGGGGGCAACCCUGAUCCAGCCAUUCCGCGUGAGUGAAGAAGGCCUUC